GUAGAGCCCAAAACCUGAUGCAUGUCC
Molecule: non-coding RNA, 27 nt
Filed under: Homo sapiens (human)
Lineage: Eukaryota; Metazoa; Chordata; Mammalia; Primates; Hominidae
Source: RNAcentral